RNAcentral lists this ribosomal RNA (759 nucleotides) under Chromohalobacter canadensis. Its description in RNAcentral is "bacterial SSU rRNA". It matches the Rfam family "Bacterial small subunit ribosomal RNA", at positions 72 to 825 of the family's 1533-position model. Lineage: Bacteria; Pseudomonadati; Pseudomonadota; Gammaproteobacteria; Oceanospirillales; Halomonadaceae. The record is from RNAcentral.
AUCCUAGCUUGCUAGGAGGCGUCGAGCGGCGGACGGGUGAGUAAUGCAUAGGAAUCUACCCAGUCGUGGGGGAUAACCUGAGGAAACUCAGGCUAAUACCGCAUACGUCCUACGGGAGAAAGCGGGGGCUCUUCGGACCUCGCGCGAUUGGAUGAGCCUAUGUCGGAUUAGCUUGUUGGUAAGGUAACGGCUUACCAAGGCGACGAUCCGUAGCUGGUCUGAGAGGAUGAUCAGCCACACCGGGACUGAGACACGGCCCGGACUCCUACGGGAGGCAGCAGUGGGGAAUAUUGGACAAUGGGCGAAAGCCUGAUCCAGCCAUGCCGCGUGUGUGAAGAAGGCUUUCGGGUUGUAAAGCACUUUCAGCGAGGAAGAAAGCGUGCCGGCCAAUACCCGGUACGGACGACAUCACUCGCAGAAGAAGCACCGGCUAACUCCGUGCCAGCAGCCGCGGUAAUACGGAGGGUGCAAGCGUUAAUCGGAAUUACUGGGCGUAAAGCGCGCGUAGGCGGCGUGUCACGCCGGGUGUGAAAGCCCCGGGCUCAACCUGGGAACGGCAUCCGGAACGGGCAGGCUAGAGUGCAGGAGAGGAAGGUAGAAUUCCCGGUGUAGCGGUGAAAUGCGUAGAGAUCGGGAGGAAUACCAGUGGCGAAGGCGGCCUUCUGGACUGACACUGACGCUGAGGUGCGAAAGCGUGGGUAGCAAACAGGAUUAGAUACCCUGGUAGUCCACGCCGUAAACGAUGUCGACUAGCCGUUG